RNAcentral lists this ribosomal RNA (252 nucleotides) under uncultured bacterium. RNAcentral's name for it is "partial 16S ribosomal RNA". It matches the Rfam family "Bacterial small subunit ribosomal RNA", at positions 524 to 776 of the family's 1533-position model. The record is from RNAcentral.
UACGGAGGAUGCGAGCGUUAUCCGGAUUUAUUGGGUUUAAAGGGUGCGUAGGCGGGCUUUUAAGUCAGCGGUAAAAAUUCGGGGCUCAACCCCGUCCGGCCGUUGAAACUGGGGGUCUUGAGUGGGCGAGAAGAAGGCGGAAUGCGUGGUGUAGCGGUGAAAUGCAUAGAUAUCACGCAGAACCCCGAUUGCGAAGGCAGCCUUCCGGCGCCCCACUGACGCUGAGGCACGAAAGUGCGGGUAUCGAACAGG